This 252-nucleotide ribosomal RNA is filed under the name uncultured prokaryote. Its description in RNAcentral is "partial 16S ribosomal RNA". It matches the Rfam family "Bacterial small subunit ribosomal RNA", at positions 525 to 777 of the family's 1533-position model. The record is from RNAcentral.
ACGUAGGGGGCAAGCGUUAUCCGGAAUCAUUGGGCGUAAAGGGUGCGUAGGCGGCCCUAUGGGUCAGAGGUUAAAGGCUACGGCUCAACCGUAGUAAGCCUUUGAAACUGUAGGGCUUGAGUGCAGGAGAGGAGAGUGGAAUUCCUAGUGUAGCGGUGAAAUGCGUAGAUAUUAGGAGGAACACCAGUGGCGAAGGCGACUCUCUGGACUGCAACUGACGCUGGGGCACGAAAGCGUGGGUAGCGAACGGGA